Molecule: ribosomal RNA, 399 nt
Filed under: Triticum aestivum (bread wheat)
Lineage: Eukaryota; Viridiplantae; Streptophyta; Magnoliopsida; Poales; Poaceae
Description: partial small subunit ribosomal RNA
Source: RNAcentral
AUGGCCUCAUCAAUGACAGAACCAGGUACAUUGCCAACCAUUCAAUUUCCUCUGACUUGGACUGAUGCAUUCAUGGAUGAUGGUGGCCUGCAUGUUCCUUCACAGUUAUUGAUUAAUCAUAGCCAUACAUUGUUGUUUAUCAUUUUCGUGCUUGCAAACAACUAUGAUGUUAACUGUAGGCACCGAAGACAUCUCAUCAUCCCACUAUUUUUAUCGCACUUUUUUGAAAUCAAUCUUCUGCAUUCAACCCGUGUGAACUUACCUCCUGAAUCAUCUUACUUAGCAAAUUCGUAUUUUCAUGCAGCAUUUAGGACGACCAUUAGAUCAAAGUAUGGUACUGCAAUUUUUUGUACUGUUCCACAGAUCGAUGGCGUAGCUAACACUCUUAAUUGUUCAUAA